This 503-nucleotide ribosomal RNA is filed under the name uncultured bacterium. RNAcentral's name for it is "partial 16S ribosomal RNA". It matches the Rfam family "Bacterial small subunit ribosomal RNA", at positions 28 to 523 of the family's 1533-position model. The record is from RNAcentral.
GAUGAACGCUAGCGGCAGGCCUAACACAUGCAAGUCGAGGGGUAGCAGGAUUAAGCUUGCUUAAUUGCUGACGACCGGCGCACGGGUGCGUAACGCGUAUGCAACCUACCUUAUACUGGGGUAUAGCCCGGAGAAAUUCGGAUUAAUCCCCCAUAGUACUAAUGAAUCGCAUGGUUAAUUAGUUAAAGCAUUGCGGUAUAAGAUGGGCAUGCGUCCUAUUAGCUAGAUGGUGAGGUAACGACUCACCAUGGCUACGAUAGGUAGGGGGCCUGAGAUGGUUGUCCCCCAGACUGGUACUGAGACACGGACCAGACUCCUACGGGAGGCAGCAGUUGGGAAUAUUGGUCAAUGGGCGCAAGCCUGAACCAGCCAUGCCGCGUGCAGGAAGAAUGCCCUAUGGGUUGUAAACUGCUUUUAUUUGGGAAUAAACCUCUUUACGUGUAGAGAGCUGAAGGUACCAAAUGAAUAAGCACCGGCUAACUCCGUGCCAGCAGCCGCGGUAA